RNAcentral lists this ribosomal RNA (599 nucleotides) under Shewanella basaltis. RNAcentral's name for it is "bacterial SSU rRNA". It matches the Rfam family "Bacterial small subunit ribosomal RNA", at positions 77 to 675 of the family's 1533-position model. Lineage: Bacteria; Pseudomonadati; Pseudomonadota; Gammaproteobacteria; Alteromonadales; Shewanellaceae. The record is from RNAcentral.
CUCCUGAGGUGACGAGCGGCGGACGGGUGAGUAAUGCCUAGGGAUCUGCCCAGUCGAGGGGGAUAACAGUUGGAAACGACUGCUAAUACCGCAUACGCCCUACGGGGGAAAGGAGGGGACCUUCGGGCCUUCCGCGAUUGGAUGAACCUAGGUGGGAUUAGCUAGUUGGUGAGGUAAUGGCUCACCAAGGCGACGAUCCCUAGCUGUUCUGAGAGGAUGAUCAGCCACACUGGGACUGAGACACGGCCCAGACUCCUACGGGAGGCAGCAGUGGGGAAUAUUGCACAAUGGGGGAAACCCUGAUGCAGCCAUGCCGCGUGUGUGAAGAAGGCCUUCGGGUUGUAAAGCACUUUCAGUAGGGAGGAAAGGGUGUUGUUUAAUACGCAACAUCUGUGACGUUACCUACAGAAGAAGGACCGGCUAACUCCGUGCCAGCAGCCGCGGUAAUACGGAGGGUCCGAGCGUUAAUCGGAAUUACUGGGCGUAAAGCGUGCGCAGGCGGUUUGUUAAGCCAGAUGUGAAAUCCCCGGGCUCAACCUGGGAAUUGCAUUUGGAACUGGCGAACUAGAGUCUUGUAGAGGGGGGUAGAAUUCCAGGUG